Molecule: long non-coding RNA, 2256 nt
Organism: Acipenser ruthenus (sterlet)
Lineage: Eukaryota; Metazoa; Chordata; Actinopteri; Acipenseriformes; Acipenseridae
Exons: 4
Source: RefSeq, a predicted model, not a curated record
GAGAGGUUUGUUUUGUUCAUGUGUGGAGAGGAGGCUGCAGUCAGUGAUGAUUUUACAACACGCUGUCUCCUGCUGUUUAAAGUAUUUAGGCUGGGAUGAAAUGUUUUCUAAUAAUUAGUGAUUUUUGUGUUUGUUUAUUACCUGCACGGAGUUCCGUGAAAAGGAAAGCAUCCCUUUUCUGUGUUGAAUUUCACACACAGAGCGGAGCGCGUCAGUCGCAGCUACAGACAAGUCGAGCUUUUCAAUGAGAUGAUUUACUGAGAAACAAACGCGUUGAAGCUCCAGCAGAGCUCUGCGCGAUUCUGAAAGACCAAAGUAAAGUUACUCCUUGCAAAGCAUGUUGUUUGUGUUCUUUCUUUAUCACACCAGAAGAAGUGAUGAAUAUAUUUGAAUGGGAAGGCUACAGUAAAAAAUAAAUAUUACUAAAUACAAACCGCAGCCGGUGUUUCUGUUUGAAAAGAGGAUUCCGCUAGACCAGUGUGAAACUCAAACCAGUGAAGAUGGACGCGUCAGCGUGUCCGUGUCGCUCUUUCAAGACGAGCUCGCCUCUACCAUCGAGCACGCAGUGAAAGCGGCUCUACACACCGUCUUGUGCGCGAUUACUAAAGCUGUCGUCAGCAAAUUCACUGAAUUCAGAGUGGAAAUGUAACAAAAAGGAGAAAGAGAAUGAAAGUCUGAAGCUGAGAUUGGAAAUAUCAGAGAACGAGCUGAAAGCUGUGCGAGCGUGUAUAAACGCUGCAGAUGCAGACAUUAAACAGCCUUUAAUAUUUCAAGAUCCCAAAGAGAGCCACGCUAUCCCUGAAUCUGAAGCACAGGAAGGGCCAAAGAUAGAAGCAGGAGUGGUGUGCAAGUCUAAUGCAGGUUACAAAGCUGGCAUGUGUUAAAGAUGAAGAGGUCCCUCAACAGGAAUGUGUUCCUAUUAAAGAGGAAUUCAUAGAGCAGGAAUGUGUCCCCAUCGCAGAGGAACUUCCUCAUGAAAAUCAUGUCUGUACACUUGAGGAGAACAAGAAGCUGGGAUCCAACCUGUGUGGUGACUCUCCAUCUGAAUGUGAACUGGGAUUUAGAGGUAAUCCUACAAAACAAGCAGCAUUGAGCUGCCUGUUCAUCCUGCAGAACCUGGUACUGAACACCAGCAGUGUGCUUGAGAUUCAUAUUUUAACCAAGGGGAGCUGCCCAACCAUUAUGUCAACAAGGACAUCACUGUGCUUGCUCCUGAGGCACCUGCUAGAUGUGCUGCCGCUGCCACGUCUCUUGAGAAUGCUGUGAGAUCAGCGGUGUCCAAUCACGCUCCUGGAGGCCAUUCCGCUGGAGGCAGAGGAUUCAGGCGACAGUGAUGCUGAGCUGGACAGUGAUGGACUCAAAGGAGAGCGGGAGUUGGGAGACAAUAUGAUGGAGAAAAGAGCUGACAGUGAGUACAGAUGGCCUAUAGCUUCUUCUGUUGAGUGUGUUUCUGCCUGCCUGUCUGUCUGUCUGUCUGUCUGUCUGCCCGUCUGUCUGUUACACUGAAGCAGAAGAGGAAAACACAAAGCUUGAGGGAUAUACACUUUGAAAAUAUUUCACCUGUUUGCAUUUAACAUGUGCAUUUAAAUGUGUUGAUGCAGCACCUUUAAUAAGACGUAUUGUAUUAAUUGAUCACCUUAAAUGUCAGUAAGAAGGAUCACCCAACUGAGAUAUAAUAACUUGACUAAAAGGUUGUCCUGUUCCCUUACCUUUUUAUCAAUCAAUGUUUAUUUUAUAUAGCGCCUUUCAUAGUUGACCACAGUUGUUUUGUGCGAUUGUUCUGUGUGAUUCUUUUCAUAUGUAAUGCAGACUGAAAUAUCUUUCUGUUAGUAAGUGCCAUCACCAUCUAGUGCAUAGCAGUGAAUUGAAAGCAGAAGGAAGCGUGAUCCAGUCACUGGCUCUUCUAUAAAGACACUUUGACUGAUCCAGCCUACAUUAUGUACAUAUAUCUAAGACAGGCAACUAGAACUGAAGAGCAGCUCCUGAACUCAGGUGAAAACAUUGUAACACACACUCUAACAAAAUAAAAUCUGAAGCUCCUUACUGUUCAGCAAUAUUCUUUAAUGUACAUUGAAAUCCUAAUCCAAAUUUGGAGAGUUCCUCAACAUGGUCUGUGUUUAAAUAGAAGGGAUGCAACCUACUGUUUGUUUAAUGAUCUUCACAUGCUUUCUGUCUCCUGAAGUGGAUUCUGAAGUGGUCCUGACACAGUCCAUGGUAGUGAAGAAGGAUGCCCUGUCCAAAAGAUACUACAGAAGU